Molecule: long non-coding RNA, 382 nt
Organism: Micropterus salmoides (largemouth bass)
Lineage: Eukaryota; Metazoa; Chordata; Actinopteri; Centrarchiformes; Centrarchidae
Exons: 3
Source: RefSeq, a predicted model, not a curated record
AUUUGCACAUACUUUGACACAUCACCAGGGAUCAAUCAUAAUCAUUCAUUUCAUGUUGGACAGAACAGCAGAACAUCAAACUGGAGAGUCAUCAUUUGUCUCACGGCAGGUAAAUGAUGUUGUGUCUAUUAGUUCCUCUCGUCUUGACUGUCCUCCUGACUGAGACAUCUGCUUCACUGUCAUCUUCAGGGACGGAGCAGGUCUUUUCAUGCCCACCUCGGUGGCUCCUGUUUGGUCAGAGAUGCUUCGCUUUCUACCCUGUGUGGAGCUCCUGGAGCAUGCCGAUGUAAACUGAAGAUAUAACACAUUUAAGUUUAUAAAACAGAAGAUUCAGUAUUACAUGGUUUUGAUGUGGUUUUGAGUGUGUGUGUGUGUGUGUAUG